This 497-nucleotide ribosomal RNA is filed under the name uncultured bacterium. RNAcentral's name for it is "partial 16S ribosomal RNA". It matches the Rfam family "Bacterial small subunit ribosomal RNA", at positions 28 to 507 of the family's 1533-position model. The record is from RNAcentral.
GAUGAACGCUGGCGGCGUGCCUAAUACAUGCAAGUCGAGCGAACGGACGAGAAGCUUGCUUCUCUGAUGUUAGCGGCGGACGGGUGAGUAACACGUGGAUAACCUACCUAUAAGACUGGGAUAACUUCGGGAAACCGGAGCUAAUACCGGAUAAUAUUUUGAACCGCAUGGUUCAAAAGUGAAAGACGGUCUUGCUGUCACUUAUAGAUGGAUCCGCGCUGCAUUAGCUAGUUGGUGAGGUAACGGCUUACCAAGGCAACGAUGCAUAGCCGACCUGAGAGGGUGAUCGGCCACACUGGAACUGAGACACGGUCCAGACUCCUACGGGAGGCAGCAGUAGGGAAUCUUCCGCAAUGGGCGAAAGUCUGACGGAGCAACGCCGCGUGAGUGAUGAAGGUCUUCGGAUCGUAAAACUCUGUUAUUAGGGAAGAACAUAUGUGUAAGUAACUGUGCACAUCUUGACGGUACCUAAUCAGAAAGCCACGGCUAACUACGUG